CGUGUAGGCGGGUCUUUAAGUCAGGGGUGAAAUGCCAAGGCUCAACCUUGGAACUGCCUUUGAUACUGGAGAUCUUGAGUCCGGGAGAGGUGAGUGGAACUGCGAGUGUAGAGGUGAAAUUCGUAGAUAUUCGCAAGAACACCAGUGGCGAAGGCGGCUCACUGGCCCGGAACUGACGCUGAGACGCGAAAGCGUGGGGAGCAAACAGGAUUAGAUACCCUGGUAGUCCACGCUGUAAACGAUGGAUGCUAGCCGUUGGGGAGCUUGCUCUUCAGCGGCGCCGCUAACGCAUUAAGCAUCCCGCCUGGGGAGUACGGUCGCAAGAUUAAA
This 330-nucleotide ribosomal RNA is filed under the name uncultured bacterium. RNAcentral describes it as "bacterial SSU rRNA". It matches the Rfam family "Bacterial small subunit ribosomal RNA", at positions 568 to 898 of the family's 1533-position model. The record is from RNAcentral.